RNAcentral lists this ribosomal RNA (1851 nucleotides) under Salmonella enterica subsp. enterica serovar Enteritidis. Its description in RNAcentral is "partial 23S ribosomal RNA". It matches the Rfam family "Bacterial large subunit ribosomal RNA", at positions 1 to 2290 of the family's 2925-position model. Lineage: Bacteria; Pseudomonadati; Pseudomonadota; Gammaproteobacteria; Enterobacterales; Enterobacteriaceae. The record is from RNAcentral.
CAUUUGCUGUACCGCGUUGACGGAGCGAAGCGACGUCAAACCGAUAAAACAGCAGUGUAAAGUGAGCCGCAGGGCGCUUUGCGCGACAGCGCAAAGGCAGGCGGUUUCGCGUAGCGAAAGCGAAUGCUUUGGGGUGGGGUGACUGCGUACCUUUUGUAUAAUGGGUCAGCGACUUAUAUUCUGUAGCAAGGUUAACCGAAUAGGGGAGCCGGAGGGAAACCGAGUCUUAAUUGGGCGUUAAGUUGCAGGGUAUAGACCCGAAACCCGGUGAUCUAGCCAUGGGCAGGUUGAAGGUUGGGUAACACUAACUGGAGGACCGAACCGACUAAUGUUGAAAAAUUAGCGGAUGACCUGUGGCUGGGGGUGAAAGGCCAAUCAAACCGGGAGAUAGCUGGUUCUCCCCGAAAGCUAUUUAGGUAGCGCCUCGUGAAUUCAUCUCCGGGGGUAGAGCACUGUUUCGGCUAGGGGGCCAUCCCGGCUUACCAACCCGAUGCAAACUGCGAAUACCGGAGAAUGUUAUCACGGGAGACACACGGCGGGUGCUAACGUCCGUCGUGAAGAGGGAAACAACCCAGACCGCCAGCUAAGGUCCCAAAGUCAUGGUUAAGUGGGAAACGAUGUGGGAAGGCCCAGACAGCCAGGAUGUUGGCUUAGAAGCAGCCAUCAUUUAAAGAAAGCGUAAUAGCUCACUGGUCGAGUCGGCCUGCGCGGAAGAUGUAACGGGGCUAAACCAUGCACCGAAGCUGCGGCAGCGACACUGUGUGUUGUUGGGUAGGGGAGCGUUCUGUAAGCCUGUGAAGGUGUGUCGUGAGGCAUGCUGGAGGUAUCAGAAGUGCGAAUGCUGACAUAAGUAACGAUAAAGCGGGUGAAAAGCCCGCUCGCCGGAAGACCAAGGGUUCCUGUCCAACGUUAAUCGGGGCAGGGUGAGUCGACCCCUAAGGCGAGGCCGAAAGGCGUAGUCGAUGGGAAACGGGUUAAUAUUCCCGUACUUGGUGUUACUGCGAAGGGGGGACGGAGAAGGCUAUGUUGGCCGGGCGACGGUUGUCCCGGUUUAAGCGUGUAGGUGUGUGUUCCAGGUAAAUCCGGUUCACUUUAACACUGAGGCGUGACGACGAGGCACUACGGUGCUGAAGCAACAAAUGCCCUGCUUCCAGGAAAAGCCUCUAAGCAUCAGGUAACAUCAAAUCGUACCCCAAACCGACACAGGUGGUCAGGUAGAGAAUACCAAGGCGCUUGAGAGAACUCGGGUGAAGGAACUAGGCAAAAUGGUGCCGUAACUUCGGGAGAAGGCACGCUGACACGUAGGUGAAGUGAUUUACUCAUGGAGCUGAAGUCAGUCGAAGAUACCAGCUGGCUGCAACUGUUUAUUAAAAACACAGCACUGUGCAAACACGAAAGUGGACGUAUACGGUGUGACGCCUGCCCGGUGCCGGAAGGUUAAUUGAUGGGGUCAGCGCAAGCGAAGCUCCUGAUCGAAGCCCCGGUAAACGGCGGCCGUAACUAUAACGGUCCUAAGGUAGCGAAAUUCCUUGUCGGGUAAGUUCCGACCUGCACGAAUGGCGUAAUGAUGGCCAGGCUGUCUCCACCCGAGACUCAGUGAAAUUGAACUCGCUGUGAAGAUGCAGUGUACCCGCGGCAAGACGGAAAGACCCCGUGAACCUUUACUAUAGCUUGACACUGAACAUUGAGCCUUGAUGUGUAGGAUAGGUGGGAGGCUUUGAAGUGUGGACGCCAGUCUGCAUGGAGCCGACCUUGAAAUACCACCCUUUAAUGUUUGAUGUUCUAACGUGGACCCGUUACCCGGGUUGCGGACAGUGUCUGGUGGGUAGUUUGACUGGGGCGGUCUCCUCC